GACGAACGCUGGCGGCGUGCUUAACACAUGCAAGUCGAACGGAAAGGCCUAGCUUUCUGGGUACUCGAGUGGCGAACGGGUGAGUAACACGUGGGUGAUCUGCCCCUUACUUUGGGAUAAGCCUGGGAAACUGGGUCUAAUACCGGAUAUUCAUUUUUCCUCGCAUGGGGGUUGGUUGGAAGCUUUUGCGGUUGGGGAUGGGCCCGCGGCCUAUCAGCUUGUUGGUGGGGUUAUGGCCUACCAAGGCGAAGACGGGUAGCCGACCUGAGAGGGUGAUCGGCCACAAUGGGACUGAGAGACGGCCCAGACUCCUACGGGAGGCAGCAGUGGGGAAUAUUGCACAAUGGGCGCAAGCCUGAUGCAGCGACGCCGCGUGAGGGAUGACGGCCUUCGGGUUGUAAACCUCUUUCAGCUCCGACGAAGCGCAAGUGACGGUAGGGGCAGAAGAAGCACCGGCUAACUACGUG
RNAcentral lists this ribosomal RNA (467 nucleotides) under uncultured bacterium. Its description in RNAcentral is "partial 16S ribosomal RNA". It matches the Rfam family "Bacterial small subunit ribosomal RNA", at positions 28 to 507 of the family's 1533-position model. The record is from RNAcentral.